CCCUUAGAUGUUCUGGGCCGCACGCGCGCUACACUGACGAAGUCAGCGAGCAUGUCCUACGCCGACAGGUGCGGGGAAUCUUGUCAAACUUCGUCGUGAUGGGGAUUGAUUUUUGAAAUUCUUGAUCAUAAACGAGGAAUUCCUAGUAAGCGCAAGUCAGCAGCUUGCGUUGAUUACGUCCCUGCCCUUUGUACACACCGCCCGUCGCUCCUACCGAUUGAGCGAUCCGGUAAAUGUUUUGGAUUGGUGCCGGGGCGGCUAGCUGCCGGUCGCUACGAAAUUUUGUGAACCUUAUCGCUUAGAGGAAGGAAAAGUCGUAACA
Molecule: ribosomal RNA, 322 nt
Filed under: uncultured eukaryote
Lineage: Eukaryota
Description: partial 18S ribosomal RNA
Rfam family: Eukaryotic small subunit ribosomal RNA
Source: RNAcentral